This is a long non-coding RNA of Sycon ciliatum, 365 nucleotides long. RefSeq lists it as uncharacterized. NCBI's taxonomy places the organism in Eukaryota, Metazoa, Porifera, Calcarea, Leucosolenida, Sycettidae. The record is from RefSeq and is a predicted model, not a curated record. The transcript has 5 exons.
UCAGCUUUCAGCAGCCCUGGGCGAGUUCUUUAGAGAAAUGUGACUCUUUUUCAUGGUGCUCUUGUCUAUGUCCAGCUAACCAACGAGAUGAGGAAGGUCAUUUUCAUUUUCUAAACUGCGAACGGGCAGAAAGCUACACAACGAGAUGAGGAUGGUCAUUGUCAUUUUCUGAGCUGCCAACGGGCAGAAAGCUAACCAACGAGAUGAGGAUGGUCAUUGUCAUUUUCUGAGCUGCAAACGGGCAGAAAGCGACACAACGAGAUGAGGAUGGUCAUUGUCAUUUUCUGAGCUGCGAACGGGUAGAACGCGACACAACGAGAUGAGGAUGGUCAUUGUCAUUUUCUGAGCUGCGAACGGGCAGAAAG